UUUUUUUUCUUUUUUUGCUUUUUAGGGUCACACCUGUAGCAUAUGGAAGUUCCCAGGCUAGGGGUUGAAUUGGAGCUGCAGCUGCCGGCCUGCACCACAGCCACAGCAAUGUGGGAUCCGAGCUGCAUCUGUGACAGCACAGUUUGGGGCGACAUAGGAUCCUUAACCCAUAUGAGCAAGGCCAGGGAUCAAACCUGCAUCCUCGUGGAUACUAGUUGGGUUCUCAAACUGCUGAGCCACAGUGGGAACUCCGAGGUUGGUUAUCUUAAGAUAAAGUUAUUUAGAAAUCAACACAGCACUUCUGUUCUUUCCCUGAGAUUCUAAGGAUCAGAAAUCUAUACUUUGGAAACCUGGUUUGAGUAUUUUUGUUGUUGAUGGGUUUUUUUGUGUUUUGUUUUGUUUUAAUGAUCUGGAGUCAUUUGUGCUUUUUUUUUUUUUUUUUUUUUUUUUUUUUUUUUUUUAUCAAUCCUUGCUUCCCUGGAGAUCAAUCUUAGAGAUAGUAAAAAGCAUAGGGCAAAAAGUCACAGACUUACCCUACCUACGUUGUCAUCUGGGACUCCAAAUCCAUUUCCAUCAGGUCCAGUCCCAUUUCUGAGGUGGCCUGUAGUCUCUCCUCCAGGCCCUGGAUGGAUCACAGGGAUGGGUCCUUAUCCACGCAUCUGGCCGGGCAUCAUGCAAGGCUAGUCACUGGUCACUGUGACCAAUGAUUCAAUAUUUCUCCCUGACACCGGGAGAUUCUAGGUGUCUGAUUUGCACAUCACCAUGUUGCAUCACACUUGGGUGCUCACACUUGGGUGGCUGCAGGCCUGGACCCGAAGGCUUGGCUCCUCCACUUGUACCAACAUGGCUAUUUUCAGACGCCAAAGGAAAGUGUCCAAUCAGGUAGCAGCCUCCAGCAUCUCCCUAUGGUUCUACAUUUACAAUCUCUGACGUUAUGUGAUUGGUCAACCCCCCCAUGUUUGGCCUGUAAUGUACUACAGUGUGUCCUUGGGCACUGGGCUGCUGUUCUUGUCACACUUAACUUUAUUUCAUUAAUGGAAGUCUAUAAAUCUAUUCCCCUUCACCCUUCGAAGGGAAGAAAUAUUUAUUGUCUACUAUGCAAGUGCCCUCAAUGUAGUUUACCUCAUUUUUCUCAAAGAAGCCUUCUACAGUAGUUUUUAUUGUAGUUUUAUAUAUCAUUUGGUCCUCUCUCUCUUUAACUUGAGCCUUAACACCUGAUCUUGCUUCUGGACCAACCAGAUGCAUAGUCCCUGCUAUAAAGGAAAACCAGCGCUAAUGACAUGGCUUUAUUAACAUCAGCUAGAAAUGGCCAAAUGGGAUAAUUAAUCUUAUUCUCCAUUUAUUGCGAAAAAGAAGUGCUUAGAAUCAACUCACCCAAACCAAAAUCAUUAUCUUUGGCAUAUGUCAUCUAACAUUUAACUGGAUUUUGUCAAACAACUCCAUAUAGUACAACCAUACACCAGUUACCUUGGGUAUAUAUUCUCUUCUCUAAUAAGAUUACAUUGAAGUAUCUACCAGUUAGCUAAACUAUUUAAAUUUAAACAUUUUAGGAAUGCUUUAUUGAGAUUGUUAAAUGCUCACAGAAUGCAAAUACCAGCUUUAAAAAUUUUCCUGGCUAAAAUUAUUAGGGCCAGAGGCUGUCCACUAAACUCUGUAUAGCAAGGUACCAGUAAUUGAAUUCUGAGAAAAAUAUUAGCUCAGCCCACAUCCCUGGGGAGUCUUCUAUAAUUAAGACAUAUCUCCUGACUAGAUUCUUUAACUGGAAAAAAAAAUGUUAACUCUUUCUUCUGAUUAACUGAAUGUCAGGGUGUGGGAAUCUGCCCUAAUUAGACAACAGAGAAGAGCUGCACUCGCAUAUUUACUCAAGAGUGGAUCUUUAAGAAAGACAAAUACCAUAUGGUAUCAUUUAUAUGUGCAAUCCAAAACAUGGCACAAAUGAACCCAUCUACAAAACAGACUCACAGAUAUGGAGAAGAGACGUGUGGUUGCCGAGGGGGAGGGAGAGGCAGUGGGAUGGACUGGGAGUUUGGAGUUAGUAGAUAAAAACUAUUACAUUUAGAAUGGAUAAGCAAUGAGGUCCUACUGAAUAGCACAGGGAACCAUAUCCAGUCUCUUGGGAUAGACCAUGAUGGAAAAUAAUAUAAGAAAGGGAAUAUAAAUAUAUAUACAUAUAUAUAUGAAUGGGUCAAUUUGCUGUAUAGCAGAAAUUGGCACAACAUUUUAAAUCAACUAUACUUCAAUAAAACUUUAAAAAAAUGGGGAAAAACAUAAAAAAGAAUGGAUCUUUAACUUCUAUGCUUACAAAUGGCUAUCAAAAGUCAAUUAUGGGAAUCAAUAUUCAUAAUGCUAUAGUCAUAAAUUCACCCUCUUAAUUUCCUGACCUUAACCUUUAGCAAAUCAGACCUUUCAUUUGCAGUAAACCCAGACCAAAUUCACCAAGUUGGAUUUCCCAUGGUAUAUAAUGAACCUAUGUUCCGGGAUAUCAUAUGCAACAGUCUAAUAAUAAUGACAGCAGAUAACAGUUUUGAGAGCUUACUAUGUGCCAGGCACUACAUUAAAUGCUCCAUAUGCAUAAUUUUUUUUUAUCUUUUUACGGUUGCACCCGUGGCAUAUGGAAGUUCCCAGGCUAGGGGUUGAAUCGGAGCUGUAGCUGCCAGCCUAUGCCACAGCAAUGCCAGAUCCAAGCCGCGUCUGUGACCUACACCACAGCUCAUGGCGACACUGGAUCUUUAACCCACUGAGCAAGGCCAAGGGUUGAACCCAAAACCUCAUGGAUACUAGUCAGGUUUGUUACCUCUGAACCACAGUGGGAGCUCCCCACAUGCAUAAUCUUACUUGAUUCUUUUAACAAAUCUUUGAGCUAAUUACUAUUACUUCUUGCCACUUUAUGGAUGAGAAAACUGAGACAUAAAGAGGUCGUUACCUAAAGCCACAUAGCCAGGAAGCUGUAAAGCCAGGAUUUAAACCUAGGCAGUCUGAUUCCAGAACUGCUACACUUAACUAGUCUACCAUAUGCCUUCCCUAAAGUAACGAUUUGAUAUACAGUUACAGGGAGCCCCAUACUUCAUACCUGGAUGUAACCUCUGGAAUACCUUCAGUAGCUAACCUGGCACUGAACGACCAAGAUGAAGGACACCUCUGGAAGAAACCAGCAGCCAUCAUCUUUGAGGGGUCCUUUUCUACAGGGAUCCAUACAGCCUGGAAAAGUACAUUCCAGUCAUUGAACCUGACAGCAAAUUCUUUUUUUUUUUUUUUUU
This 3257-nucleotide long non-coding RNA is filed under the name Sus scrofa (pig). Its description in RNAcentral is "lncRNA (ENSSSCG00005002865.1)". Lineage: Eukaryota; Metazoa; Chordata; Mammalia; Artiodactyla; Suidae. The record is from RNAcentral.